This 346-nucleotide ribosomal RNA is filed under the name uncultured bacterium. Its description in RNAcentral is "bacterial SSU rRNA". It matches the Rfam family "Bacterial small subunit ribosomal RNA", at positions 8 to 334 of the family's 1533-position model. The record is from RNAcentral.
AGGGUUUGAUCAUGGCUCAGGAUGAACGCUGGCGGCGUGCUUAACACAUGCAAGUCGAACGAAGCACUUACGACAGAACUUUUCGGAGGGAAGAUGUUUGUGACUGAGUGGCGGACGGGUGAGUAACGCGUGGGUAACCUGCCUUGCAGAGGGGGACAACAGUUGGAAACGACUGCUAAUACCGCAUAAUAGAUCGAGACCGCAUGAUCAUGAUCUUAAAGAUUUAUCGCUGCAAGAUGGACCCGCGUCUGAUUAGCUAGUUGGUGGGGUAACGGCCUACCAAGGCAACGAUCAGUAGCCGGCUUGAGAGAGUGAACGGCCACAUUGGGACUGAGACACGGCCCAG